CCAACGUGGAUACCCCGGGAGGUCACUCUCCCCGGGCUCUGUCCAGGUGGCAUAGGGGAGCAUAGGGCUCUGCCCCGUGAUGUACAGUCCCUUUUCCACGACGUUGGAGAAGAAGCUGGGCCUUGUGUCUGCACCUGCAUAUUCCUACAACUUCUCAGAGCCUUUUGGGCAGUGACUGAGGAGAUAAACCAUGCAGGAAACAGUC
This is a small nucleolar RNA of Cavia porcellus (domestic guinea pig), 205 nucleotides long. Its record names the gene SNORA73. It matches the Rfam family "Small nucleolar RNA SNORA73 family". Rfam says of the family: U17 (SNORA73A and SNORA73B) also known as E1 belongs to the H/ACA class of small nucleolar RNAs (snoRNAs). Vertebrate U17 is intron-encoded and ranges in length from 200-230 nucleotides, longer than most snoRNAs. It is one of the most abundant snoRNAs in human cells and is essential for the cleavage of pre-rRNA within the 5' external transcribed spacer (ETS). NCBI's taxonomy places the organism in Eukaryota, Metazoa, Chordata, Mammalia, Rodentia, Caviidae. The record is from Ensembl.